GCUGAAUAAACCCAUCCCUAAUUAUCUUCUAACAUGUCCAAUGGAAAAUUAGGGUUCAUCUCCGCCAUUGAAGACAUCAAGUUGCUGAGUUCGAGUUGAUGAAUCUGUUCGUAGCGUUUCGAUCACGUCGUCUGAUCUUAUUUCUCAUCAACCGAAACGCUCUCAGUUACAGAUUCGUCGCAUUAAACAUCUUCUUAACUCCAUCAACCAUAUCUAGCCUUGAAUGCGAAUUUCCCUUCGGCAAGGCGGUGUCACUGAGCGUAUAAAAAGUUGCUGCGGUUAUGGGAGGCGAGAGACGUCAGGCGCGGUGGGGAUUUCUUCUCGCUGACAAAGGGAAACCGGAACUGUUACGGGCUACAUUCAACCGAUUCUUUUGGAUUUCUUCUUAGAUCGUUAUGGGCGUCGAUAUGCUCUCCUUGAUGCCAAGGAUAUUACUGAAGAAAAAAAAUCUUAUCCAUGCCCAACGGAGUGGUUAUUCGGUGUUGAUAUUGUAAAGAAAUAGGAAGAGUUUUCACGGUUUCACAGCAAGCCCAAAUAUACUUUGUUUUUGCAUCAUCUGGAGAUUCCUUUGAGAAGAAGAGGAAUAGAGUUCUUUUGGUUCGAUGGGAAAUUGGGUCAGAAGUCCGAAGAGAAGGUGCUGAAGGAUUCAAUGAAACCAUCACAAAACAGUUCUGCUUCUGUCUCUGAAACCUGGAGUCGAACUGAAUCUAACCGCAUUUUCACACGUCUUCUUAACGCGGAAGAGCAAUCGAUCAUAUGAGAACUAAUCGCGUAGACAUAGCAGCGACACUGUUUAGAGUUCCGUGAGUGAGAACAAGAUCAUAAUAGGCAGUACAAUGCCUGCUUUAUUGAAUCUUCUCUUGAACGGGACCCGAGAGCAGCUGUGGCAGCAUUGUUCAAUCUCUGCAUUGAUCAGGGAAACAAAGGCAUAGAGAUGAUAGCCGGCAUAGUAGCUACAUUGGUUGAGAUGCUAAGCUUUGAAGUUACAUGGCUGUGGUUCCCAUUGCUUGCACAAUGCCAAGAAGAUUGACAAAUCCCUCCGGCUUAGAAAGAAGGUCAAACCCACUCAGGGUUGUGAGGUUUCAGUUAAAGAAUAAUAAGAUGCCUGAGCCAAAAGUGCCGGUGAGGUUCGAUCUUGAUGAUCAUGAGCAGGAACCAAAAGAGAAGUCUCUGGAAGAAAGAGAGGGUUUGAAAACUGUUGAAUGGGAGGUGGAAGUUGUGAGGUUCAAAUCAAGCUGACGAAGAAAAAAGCUCUAACUAAGGCUAUUACAAACCAAGACGAAACCAAGAAGAUCGUAUUAUUAUAUUUUAACUAGCGUGGAUCCGAUAGUUAGAGCUUUAUGUCGAAACCGAGAAGAUCGUAUUACUCCCUCCGAAGCGUUGUUCAUGGUGCAAUGGCAGGUUACACUAGCUACAUCAGUAGUCUUAUCAAAUGGAAGACAAACAUACAUUCUUUAAAGCAGUAUAACAUAGAAACAGAACAAUAUGGUGGUUACGGAUAGGAUGUGGACAAGGCUAAUGUUUUAGACGAAUCAGCUCAGUUUUUAGGCCCUACGGAUAUAAUCAAGGAGAAGAAAGAGGUGCCGGAAAAGCUACUUAAGAAAACUGGUAUGGAGUUUUUGAUUUUCCUACGGCUUCUUAAAAGAUCGCUAAGUGAAGCUCAGAAAAGCAAUAUGUUCUAGCGAUUUACGCAUAUUUGUAUCAUUUUCUGUGUGAUGAGUUUUAACACUUCAGCUAUAUUCUCUUAGUACUAUGCUCAAGACGAAGCUGAACUGUGUAGAUGGUAGAUAAAAGCUUCACGUUCUACCCUACAAAUAAGUGAAGAAGAAUGACCAAAAUUAUUUGUUCAAAAAAAAAGAAAAGAAUGACCAAAAUUAAUGAUUAUUUUUAACACUAAGAAUUGUCAUUGUCGUCAAGGACAAAAUAAAGAAUUAGUAAUAUAAAAGUGGCUUCAUUGUGUACGGUGUGUUAUGAUUCUGUAAAUAACACAGAUUGUAUUGUUUAUCAUAUUAAAAAUAUAUUCUCAUUAUCGAAUGAACAGAAAAACAAUUAAUCUAUUUCACUUUUUAUAUAUAUUUUAGAUAAGUUAUUUUGUUUCUAAGUUUUCACGGGAAAAUAACCUAAUUCUCAGUAUCAAUGUUGCAGGAAGUGAAUGUUUUUUAAAUAUUUUUAAGAAUGGGUUCAUUUUCAAUUAAAUUAAUUUAUUGGCAUAAAUAUGUUAACAUAUAAUCUUUUUCAAAAUUCAUAUAAUAAAAUAUAAAAUACAUAAAUUUAUUGCAAUUUUUAAUAUUAUCGUGACAUCAUAUUUACAUACAAAAUCUAAAUUUACAGAAAUUAUCAA
Brassica napus (rape) is the source of this 2341-nucleotide long non-coding RNA. RefSeq lists it as uncharacterized. Lineage: Eukaryota; Viridiplantae; Streptophyta; Magnoliopsida; Brassicales; Brassicaceae. The transcript is spliced from 7 exons. The record is from RefSeq and is a predicted model, not a curated record.